AGCGAACGCUGGCGGCAGGCUUAACACAUGCAAGUCGAGCGGGCACUUUCGGGUGUCAGCGGCGGACGGGUGAGUAACGCGUGGGAACGUGCCCUCUGGUUCGGAAUAACUCAGGGAAACUUGAGCUAAUUCCGGAUACGCCCUUUUGGGGAAAGGCUUGCUGCCGGAGGAUCGGCCCGCGUCUGAUUAGCUAGUUGGUGAGGUAACGGCUCACCAAGGCGACGAUCAGUAGCUGGUCUGAGAGGAUGAUCAGCCACACUGGGACUGAGACACGGCCCAGACUCCUACGGGAGGCAGCAGUGGGGAAUAUCGGACAAUGGGCGCAAGCCUGAUCCAGCCAUGCCGCGUGAGUGAUGAAGGCCUUAGGGUUGUAAAGCUCUUUUAUCCGGGACGAUAAUGACGGUACCGGAGGAAUAAGCCCCGGCUAACUUCGUG
RNAcentral lists this ribosomal RNA (435 nucleotides) under uncultured bacterium. Its description in RNAcentral is "partial 16S ribosomal RNA". It matches the Rfam family "Bacterial small subunit ribosomal RNA", at positions 29 to 507 of the family's 1533-position model. The record is from RNAcentral.